GUUCUUAAUGCUGGAAGAAGAAAUUAAAGCUCAAUCCAUGAUGGUGACACAACCACCCUGAUCCAUGUCCCUAUACAUGGAGAAAACGAAAGUUAUUAAACUGGUCAAACAUGUCUGAUGAGUCCUCUUCUGGUGUUUUAACAAAUCAAUUGGACAAAUGUUCUAUCAAGAUUGUACUUUUUAUUAGCAAGUGAAAAGGCAUAUGCUACAACACAAAAGUAAUAAUAUUACAUUAUCAUCACAUUUUCACAAAGAACCCAUGUGACACUUGAUCCGACAUCAACAUAGUAAAAAUUUUAAAAAUAAUAGUAAAUGUAUCUAUCCUCUAGUAUCACCUUUGUCUCUUGUGUGUACUUGAUUAUUCAAUUUAAAGUUUACUUAUCUUAGCUUUACAUAAAUGUACUCCAAAAUACAUAUCAUCUCUAAUGUGUGGCUCUUGCAAAGUAAAAAUAAAUUUUACUAACUUUAUGUCAUCAAACCAUCUAUUUUAGAACUUCUCAAGGACCUCCACACUCUUAUGGAAUGCUCUUCUUUAACCUAAGGGCAUUAUUUUGUUAUUUAUAUAGCGCCAACAAAUUCCGCAGAGCUUUACAGUGGGUUACCGAACAGACAUGUAGUUGUAACCAGACAAGUUGGACACACAGGAACAGAGGGGUUGAGGGUCCUGCUCAAUGAGCUUACAUGCUAGAGGGAGUGGGGUAAAGUAGCACAAAAGGUAAGGAUAGUAUUCGACUAAUGACAGUUGCAAGUGAGGAAUCAGCCAGGAGCUAUUAACAGUUUAAUUGAUAUGCUUUUAUGAAGAAGUGGGUUUUUAAUUAUUGUUUGAAGGAGUGGAGACCGAGUGAGCAUCUGCAUGUUUCGCGAAAUGUGAUCCUAUGUUAUGUUUUACUCUAUAUCUAAUGUUCUUUAUGUAAGUAAUAAAAGAUAUAAAAAAUUUAGCAUUUUAAACAAAUACUUACAAAUUACUUUUUUUCUUUCAAUAUCAUUAGAGAACAAAUUAAGUUGACCUGAAUUAACCCUGCAGUACUUCACUUACCACAUUUGUACAAAGUAUUUCCAUUAACGACUACUCUCUGCACUCCACCAAUGUUCAAUUCAAAACAAGCAUUUUCAUCCGAACCAACUUCUCUUGAUUUAUAAAGUAAAAUCCAUGUAGAUGACAUAUGACAACACCCUAUUCUAUACUUCUAUUAACUUUCAAAAAAAAUGCAAUUAUGUUUUUAUUGGCUUGUAUAUCUCGGCCUUUUGAUAUUCCUUCAAUGAGAAUUAAAACAUCAUCGUAAAUAUGCUGGGUGGAGACUACUCCAUGUAGAUUUACUAAGCUUUUUCAGAAUAUUCACCUUAAUUGUAUUUAUUUGGCACUUAUUUUGCAGAUACUUUAUAUGGCCAGACAUUUUAAACAAGAUAGUGAUUUUUGUUUGUAACCUGAUUUGAAAACAUACAAAGUUAUAAACAUUGAGUAGCUAAAGCAGCUCACUUGUUCUUUUACUAUUACUUUUCCAGUGUUUGCAAAGGAUGAUGAUGAAAUAGAGAGGCAUGUCAGUUCUUGUCUGAGCGAUUGUCAACUGCAUUAAUGUCAUUGCCAAGCUUCAACUACGGUUCAAUGCAAAAUGUCUACUGGAUUCUGCAUCUACAGUGAAAAAUCUAGCAAUGUUCCAUUUCUUCUGGUUGGUGUGUACUUCCCUAAUAUUUUUAUGACAACCUGCUGAGUGGGUGGAAUUGAUGCUUUAGAAGAUAAGAAAAAAUGUGAUCAAAACUUUUCUAAUAUAAUUCUAUUUUGGUAUUCACUGAGUGUGGUAUUAGGUUUAUUUUCU
This 1814-nucleotide long non-coding RNA is filed under the name Pelobates cultripes (western spadefoot toad). Lineage: Eukaryota; Metazoa; Chordata; Amphibia; Anura; Pelobatidae. The record is from RNAcentral.